UUAGCUGAGAGGUGGUGCAUGGCCGUCGUCAGUUCGUACUGUGAAGCAUCCUGUUAAGUCAGGCAACGAGCGAGACCCACGUCCACAGUUGCCAGGCAUACCCUCCGGGGUGAUGGGUACACUGUGGAGACCGCCGCUGCUAAAGCGGAGGAAGGAGUGGGCAACGGUAGGUCAGUAUGCCCCGAAUCUCCCGGGCUACACGCGGGCUACAAUGGUUGGUACAAUGGGCAUCUACCCCGAAAGGGGAAGGAAAUCUCUUAAAGCCAAUCGUAGUUCGGAUUGAGGGCUGCAACUCGCCCUCAUGAAGCUGGAAUCCGUAGUAAUCGCGUUUCAACAGAACGCGGUGAAUACGUCCCUGCUCCUU
RNAcentral lists this ribosomal RNA (364 nucleotides) under uncultured Methanosaeta sp. RNAcentral's name for it is "bacterial SSU rRNA". It matches the Rfam family "Archaeal small subunit ribosomal RNA", at positions 976 to 1338 of the family's 1478-position model. Lineage: Archaea; Methanobacteriati; Methanobacteriota; Methanomicrobia; Methanotrichales; Methanotrichaceae. The record is from RNAcentral.